UACAGAGGGGGCAAGCGUUGUUCGGAAUUACUGGGCGUAAAGGGCGCGUAGGCGGCCUGUUAAGUCGAACGUGAAAUCCCCGGGCUCAACCCGGGAACUGCGUCCGAUACUGGCAGGCUUGAAUCCGGGAGAGGGAUGCGGAAUUCCAGGCGUAGCGGUGAAAUGCGUAGAUAUCUGGAGGAACACCGGUGGCGAAGGCGGCAUCCUGGACCGGCAUUGACGCCGAGGCGCGAAAGCCAGGGGAGCAAACGGG
This 253-nucleotide ribosomal RNA is filed under the name uncultured bacterium. RNAcentral's name for it is "partial 16S ribosomal RNA". It matches the Rfam family "Bacterial small subunit ribosomal RNA", at positions 524 to 776 of the family's 1533-position model. The record is from RNAcentral.